CCUACGAAGUUUGUAAUUACAAAUUCUUCCCUUCUAAGUUGUAGAAUAUAUCAACCGUAUCGUGACCGUGAAUGAGAAACCGUUAAGUGUGUUAGAAAUUUGUAUUAAACACCCAAAUAUCCUUGGUCCAAUGGAGAUUACGAUUUUGCCCUCAACCAUUAUUAUCGUCUUCUUCCUUGAGAAACCAUGGGAGAGUUAGGGUUUUUGAACUUGCACUACAUGGUUUAAAAUCUGAAAUCGGAGAGAGCAUUGAUAGUUUUGGUGAUCGAUUCUUGUUCAUCUUGUUGAAGUCUUGAAGAUCGACCUUGAAGAUCGACCCUUAUUCUCAUCUUCUUCCUUGAGAAAUUGGAGAGAACGUUGAUGGUUUUGGCGAUCGAUUGGGAGAAUAUAAUCUGUAAAAUUUGUAUGAAAGGUUCUUUUGGGGGAGCAUUUUCUUCCCCAAGGAGUUUGCUUUAGCUUUGGUGCAUUCUGUUUCCCCUUGUCUCUAUACUAUUUUCUCUCUUCAGGUAUCGGGAGGAACCCUAGCAACGAAGGAAGUUCGAUUGGCCGAUUCUUCCAUCUUGCACUGUUGCCAGAUUUGAUAAGUAAGCCUCUCCUUAACUCUCUCAGAAUCUCUCUAUCCUUCUCUUGUUUGGGUCUCUUGACUAGCGGGUUCUGGAGACUGCUCCGUCUCCUCAUCUCUCUUCGAUGUGGGUUUUACUUAGCUAGAGAUUCUGCAGAAGAAUUAGGCAAAUGUACGAUCAUCUUUUUAGUGUAGAGUUGCUGAAGUUGGAUUUAUUAUCUUAAAUGAAUUCCAGAUGGACUAGGUUGAUUCAAGACUGGAGCAAAAUGAUGACAGUAGGGAUCAAAAUGGGUCUGCUAGGGGAGAUUAUAGAGAUGAAGAACUUCUUGAUGGUUUUGAAGGAGAUGUUAGUGAGAAAUCAAGGGAAUCAAGCAAGCACUAGAGCAAAGACAGAAAGAAUAGUCGAAAAGGAGAGAAGGAUCACCACAGGUUAGAUGGAGUAAUAUUUAAACAAAGGGGAAGGGGGUGAAAAAGACAUUUAACAUAUGAUUCUAACAGUGUUAACACCACAGGGUACGUUUGUAAUUACAAACUUCGUAAGAGGUCUGAGUGUAAUAACUAAAACAAACAGGGGAGGAGAGUGUAAUUUCCUCUUUUAUAAAUUAUUGAAAAUAAACUUAUGGGCUUAAACUCAUCAACAUACAUCGUACAUAAAAAAAAAAAAAAAAAAAAAAUCAAUAAACACAAUCUUUUUUAGGCUCAAUUGUUAUUAAUGUAUGAUUAACACCAAAUGGUAGUGAAAUACUCAGACAAAAUUAUAAAUAAAUCUUAUGAUAUCUAACUUGACCAUAUCUCAAUAGUUCUGGUGGACAAUAGUAGGUAUUUGAUGCAAGCAUCAAAUUAGGCUCUUGAAACCAAUGAAGUAAAGUUAACAUGCCCAAACAUGAGUACAAGAAGUGCAGAAUUUUCAGUUUCGAGUGAUCACAGUAAAAUAACGAUAUCUUCCUCAAUAUAGGUUGAAAUGACUUGAUUCCAAAAUUUUUUGAACAAGGACGGACUUAGAACUUUG
Long non-coding RNA from Macadamia integrifolia, 1571 nucleotides. RefSeq lists it as uncharacterized. The transcript has 3 exons. NCBI's taxonomy places the organism in Eukaryota, Viridiplantae, Streptophyta, Magnoliopsida, Proteales, Proteaceae. The record is from RefSeq and is a predicted model, not a curated record.